Non-coding RNA from Camellia sinensis, 345 nucleotides. The record is from RefSeq and is a predicted model, not a curated record. Lineage: Eukaryota; Viridiplantae; Streptophyta; Magnoliopsida; Ericales; Theaceae.
GCAACAGGAAGUUCCUUAGCUUUCAGGUUGAUAACUUGGAAUUUCUGAGGGAAAUGAGGAUCAACCCAAUAAAGGUUGCCAAAGCAUUAGUGGAAGUGUUUGCUGAAAUGAUUUUGAUGAAUAUGGGUGCAAGGUGUUAUGCCAGUUCAUUGAUAGAGUGGAGAAACACCCGAGCAAGAAAAUUGAUGAGAAGAUUGGCCAGUUCUGGAUUGUAUUUUUUUCAUAAAAGAACUUUUUUCAAGUUUUUAGUUGUAAUAACUUUUACAUGUAGCUCAAAUUUUGAGACUCAAAUAGAAUGUUCAAUAAAACUAUAAUGCUAUACUGUCUGAAUUCUUGUCAUUGUUA